This is a long non-coding RNA of Magnolia sinica, 953 nucleotides long. RefSeq lists it as uncharacterized. Lineage: Eukaryota; Viridiplantae; Streptophyta; Magnoliopsida; Magnoliales; Magnoliaceae. The record is from RefSeq and is a predicted model, not a curated record. The transcript has 3 exons.
AUAUUGCUUUUACUGGCAAGCUUAUUAUACUAUUCUGAUGUUUAUUUGCUUUAAUUUCCUUCUUCAAGUGGCAAAUCAAAACAAACUGCAGAUGUCUAUAUAGUACAUGUGUGCAAGAUGCAAGCUGAUUAUCAGGUGGUCCCUGUGGCUAAUGGUCUCUAGCCCAAAAAUCUGGCCGGUGCAUUUAUCAGGUGGGCUACUCCUGCUCAAAUAAAUGGGCAGUUAGAAUAUUGGAAACUGACAGGCUACAUGCAGUGUCUGUGUUUCACUCGCCUGGUGGCUGGGCCGGCCUGAUUUUUUGGAUAGGACACAUGCACUGAGUGGACUCUCCAAUGAACAUCUCAGAUUCAGCAUGCUUGUGCCGCAUUGGUAUGCAUGGGGUGUUUGCAUUUGGCCUAGAAGUUGGGGCUUCUGGAGACGAUCUUUUUAUUUUUUAUUUUCUGCAUUAGGUAGUACACUGGACAUGGGUGAUCUUGAACCUCCCUCAGACUUGAAGAGUUAUCCUUUAUAGAUGUCAGCCACUAUUGGAAAGGUGGUACACCGUACAUGGGUGACCUUGAACCUCCCACAGACUUGAAGAGUUGGAUCCUUAAUAGAUGGCAGCUGCUAGUGGGAAGGGAGUGGCAUACUUUCCUAUUCAUGGCCGUUUUGGAGUACACAGCAGCAUUCCACAUUCAACCAGUAAUUCUUGGAUGGUUGUAGUUCAGAUGUUGGAUCAAUGUUAUUUGGAUCCUCGAUAGUGAAACUUGUAGCAAUACUGAUACUUCAAACACCAAGCGGUAGUUGGCCUCCAUCGUCAACUCAUACCAAGGCUCAUGGAGUGAGACAAGCAUGGAUCAUGACAUGUAUCUACGAAAGUUCAGAACUCAAGGGCAAGGUUUAUUAUUAUUAUUACUAUAGCAGUCUAAUGCAGUCAUGAUCAAGGCCUAAGAUUAGGUCGAAGACAGCUUACU